UCGAGAAUUUUUCUCAAUGGGGGAAACCCUGAAGGAGCGACGCCGCGUGGGGGAUGAAUGGCUUCGGCCCGUAAACCCCUGUCAUUUGCGAUCAAACCUUACGACCUAACACGUCGUGAGCUGAUAGUAGCGGAAGAGGAAGGGACGGCUAACUCUGUGCCAGCAGCCGCGGUAAUACAGAGGUCCCAAGCGUUGUUCGGAUUCACUGGGCGUAAAGGGUGCGUAGGCGGUCGGGUAAGUCUGACGUGAAAUCUUCAAGCUCAACUUGGAAACUGCGUCGGAUACUAUUCGGCUAGAGGAAUGGAGGGGAGACUGGAAUACUUGGUGUAGCAGUGAAAUGCGUAGAUAUCAAGUGGAACACCAGUGGCGAAGGCGAGUCUCUGGACAUUUCCUGACGCUG
This 400-nucleotide ribosomal RNA is filed under the name uncultured bacterium. Its description in RNAcentral is "bacterial SSU rRNA". It matches the Rfam family "Bacterial small subunit ribosomal RNA", at positions 355 to 748 of the family's 1533-position model. The record is from RNAcentral.